UACAGAGGGGGCAAGCGUUGUUCGGAAUUACUGGGCGUAAAGGGCGCGUAGGCGGCCUUCUAAGUCGAACGUGAAAUCCCCGGGCUCAACCCGGGAACUGCGUCCGAUACUGGAAGGCUUGAAUCCGGGAGAGGGAUGCGGAAUUCCAGGUGUAGCGGUGAAAUGCGUAGAUAUCGGGAGGAACACCAGUGGCGAAGGCGGCUACCUGGCCCAUUCUUGACGCUGAGGCGCGAAAGCUAGGGGAGCAAACGGG
Molecule: ribosomal RNA, 253 nt
Filed under: uncultured bacterium
Lineage: Bacteria
Description: partial 16S ribosomal RNA
Rfam family: Bacterial small subunit ribosomal RNA
Source: RNAcentral